This 74-nucleotide transfer RNA is filed under the name Rhodothalassium salexigens. RNAcentral's name for it is "tRNA-Gly". It matches the Rfam family "tRNA". Rfam says of the family: Transfer RNA (tRNA) molecules are approximately 80 nucleotides in length. Their secondary structure includes four short double-helical elements and three loops (D, anti-codon, and T loops). RNAcentral also lists the same sequence under 4 other names. Lineage: Bacteria; Pseudomonadati; Pseudomonadota; Alphaproteobacteria; Rhodothalassiales; Rhodothalassiaceae. The record is from RNAcentral.
GCGGGUGUAGCUCAAUGGUAGAGCCCCAGCCUUCCAAGCUGGUGGUGUGGGUUCGAUUCCCAUCACCCGCUCCA